Long non-coding RNA from Lonchura striata (white-rumped munia), 1108 nucleotides. RefSeq lists it as uncharacterized. The record is from RefSeq and is a predicted model, not a curated record. Lineage: Eukaryota; Metazoa; Chordata; Aves; Passeriformes; Estrildidae.
CAUACAGAUGUGCCAGAGAGCCAGCGACUGAGAGCUGCCCAAAAGAACCGGGGACAAAGAUAACACGAGUGUCCUUGGAGACAGAGCUGUUUUUGAGAAGGGCUCCAUCGCCCAGGCUUCCCAUAAGGCUCCCAUGUGUGGGGAGAGAUGGCCAGUUUGCAGGAGUGGGAGGGAGGGCUAAGAGAGGUACAGCUGGAGGAGGCUCCACGGAAAGACUGUGGAAAUGUGGAAAGCAGGGAAAUGAAGAGGGACACGUCACUCGCAAACUGAAAUGCAGAGGGGGUGGUAAGGGGAAGAAAGGAGCAGGGAGGCAGAGAUUUGGAAGCUUCAUCACGGAAGAACUGGCCUCAAGAGCAAAGGAAAGAGUUUCCAUCCAAGGAUGUGAGAGAGCUGUCCCUGCUUGUCCAUCUGUGUUCUACCCUGAGAGUACUUUCCAGUGCAAUUCUGCAAAAGGGCAGAAGACAUAUUUGAAUUGGCUGGGCAUCUGGUUCCUGUUACAGAUGACUCCACAGACUUUUUCAGCUAGGAAUUUGUUAGUGAAUAUCCAUUUGCUGUCUACAAUUCCACCUAAGAGAGGGAAGAUUGCUCAUUUUCUGUGUGCCUGAGAGACAGGGAUAAGUCAAGAUCCUACAACAGCCAUCAUGGUGACUCUUCCUCUUUUCCUCCUCUUCAUCCUUUUGCCCUGCAGUAAAUCUCAGGACUUCCUGGACCAGCACCAGAAAUGGAACUACAGAGAAGGCGCUGACAAGGUUAACAUAGAAGGUGUUUACAGCAUUACUCAAACCCUCGAGAAAUGGGGAAAUGACAUCUUCUGGCAAAUGAAGCAUACCCUGCUGAACAAUCCAAAUGCUCUCCUGCCUGAGUUCUCCAGCCUCCGCCCUGUUUCUGCAGCUGUGGACAACCUUGUGAGGGAAGUCCAGUCGAUAAGGAAAAGGCUGGAAGAACUGAAUGAACGCCUCAAUGUCAUCAGCAAAACUGUCCUUCCCCUUCGACUGAAUGCUCUGCAGAGCCAGAGGCGUGGAAAUACUCAGCUGCGAAGACUCCCAACACAUAGAAGAAGGCUAUAUGCUCGCAGAAGACCUCAGAGCACUUAAUUCUCUACCAGAAA